This 345-nucleotide unclassified non-coding RNA is filed under the name soil metagenome. Its description in RNAcentral is "partial contains 5.8S ribosomal RNA, internal transcribed spacer 2, and large subunit ribosomal RNA". The stretch from base 1 to 120 matches the Rfam family "5.8S ribosomal RNA", at positions 35 to 154 of the family's 154-position model. The record is from RNAcentral.
GAUGAAGAACGUAGCGAAAUGCGAUACGUAAUGUGAAUUGCAGAAUUCAGUGAAUCAUCGAGUCUUUGAACGCACAUUGCGCCCCCUGGUAUUCCGGGGGGCAUGCCUGUCCGAGCGUCAUUGCUGCCCUCAAGCACGGCUUGUGUGUUGGGCCUCCGUCCUCCUCCCGGGGGACGGGCCCGAAAGGCAGCGGCGGCACCGCGUCCGGUCCUCGAGCGUAUGGGGCUUCGUCACCCGCUCUUGUAGGCCCGGCCGGCGCUUGCCGACACAUCAAUCUUUUUUCCAGGUUGACCUCGGAUGAGGUAGGGAUACCCGCUGAACUUAAGCAUAUCAAUAAGCGUAGGA